This 465-nucleotide ribosomal RNA is filed under the name uncultured Arsenophonus sp. Its description in RNAcentral is "bacterial SSU rRNA". It matches the Rfam family "Bacterial small subunit ribosomal RNA", at positions 338 to 795 of the family's 1533-position model. Lineage: Bacteria; Pseudomonadati; Pseudomonadota; Gammaproteobacteria; Enterobacterales; Morganellaceae. The record is from RNAcentral.
CCUACGGGAGGCAGCAGUGGGGAAUAUUGCACAAUGGGCGCAAGCCUGAUGCAGCCAUGCCGCGUGUAUGAAGAAGGCCUUCGGGUUGUAAAGUACUUUCAGUCGUGAGGAAGGUGUUAAGGUUAAUAACCUUAGCAAUUGACGUUAGCGACAGAAGAAGCACCGGCUAACUCCGUGCCAGACUCCUUUGUGUGACGUGUUGUGCGAGCGUUAAUCGGAAUUACUGGGCGUAAAGGGCACGCAGGCGGUUAAUUAAGUUGGAUGUGAAAUCCCCGGGCUUAACCUGGGAAUGGCAUUCAAGACUGGUUAGCUAGAGUCUUGUAGAGGGGGGUAGAAUUCCAUGUGUAGCGGUGAAAUGCGUAGAGAUGUGGAGGAAUACCGGUGGCGAAGGCGGCCCCCUGGACAAAGACUGACGCUCAUGUGCGAAAGCGUGGGGAGCAAACAGGAUUAGAUACCCUGGUAGUC